RNAcentral lists this non-coding RNA (26 nucleotides) under Rattus norvegicus (Norway rat). Lineage: Eukaryota; Metazoa; Chordata; Mammalia; Rodentia; Muridae. The record is from RNAcentral.
GUACAAAAAAAUGUUUUCAAGGCUGC